Molecule: long non-coding RNA, 268 nt
Filed under: Struthio camelus australis
Lineage: Eukaryota; Metazoa; Chordata; Aves; Struthioniformes; Struthionidae
Description: lncRNA (ENSSCUG00000004328.1)
Source: RNAcentral
AUGAGCUUGACAGAGCACUCUGUGAAAGCUCUGACAGCACUACAGAGCACCGCUGCAGUGGUGCUUACCACUGAGAGCUUUGUGUGAUCAAGACUGCAGGCCAUCAACGCCAUGUAUGUGGGGUAAACUACAAGACAGAGGUCUUGAGAGCCCUGUCCUUCUGUGUAAAGCCCACAAGUGUGGAGUAGAGGACUCCUCCUUAUCUGCGGAGACGGGGUGGGAAGUGACCCGUCGCUCCUGAACGCUCAUCCCCGCAUGGACUCUCCUG